UACGUAGGGUCCGAGCGUUGUCCGGAAUUACUGGGCGUAAAGAGCUCGUAGGUGGUUUGUCGCGUUGUUCGUGAAAACUCACAGCUCAACUGUGGGCGUGCGGGCGAUACGGGCAGACUGGAGUACUGCAGGGGAGACUGGAAUUCCUGGUGUAGCGGUGGAAUGCGCAGAUAUCAGGAGGAACACCGGUGGCGAAGGCGGGUCUCUGGGCAGUAACUGACGCUGAGACGCGAAAGCGUGGGGAGCAAACAGG
This 253-nucleotide ribosomal RNA is filed under the name uncultured bacterium. RNAcentral's name for it is "partial 16S ribosomal RNA". It matches the Rfam family "Bacterial small subunit ribosomal RNA", at positions 524 to 776 of the family's 1533-position model. The record is from RNAcentral.